ACGACCUUACUUGAACAGGAUCUGUUCUAUAGGCUCGUACCAUUGUGUCCUUGAGUUCUAAGGAGACAAGAACCUAAACCUGGUUGAUGAAUCAUGACCGUGUAAUCAGAGCGUGAUUAAUGGCUAUGAUGAUCUCUCCUUUGAGAGAGAAUCAUCUGUGGCAGUGGAGGAUCGUUCUCAGGCUGUGUUCACCACUGGCUGAGAUGGUUACACGGUUGUCUGACAGGUU
This is a non-coding RNA of Lupinus angustifolius (narrow-leaved blue lupine), 229 nucleotides long. Lineage: Eukaryota; Viridiplantae; Streptophyta; Magnoliopsida; Fabales; Fabaceae. The record is from Rfam.